UACGUAGGUGGCGAGCGUUGUCCGGAUUUACUGGGCGUAAAGGGAGCGUAGGCGGACUUUUAAGUGAGUUGUGAAAUACUCGGGCUCAACUUGAGUGCUGCAUUUCAAACUGGAAGUCUAGAGUGCAGGAGAGGAGAAUGGAAUUCCUAGUGUAGCGGUGAAAUGCGUAGAGAUUAGGAAGAACACCAGUGGCGAAGGCGAUUCUCUGGACUGUAACUGACGCUGAGGCUCGAAAGCGUGGGGAGCAAACAGG
This 253-nucleotide ribosomal RNA is filed under the name uncultured bacterium. RNAcentral describes it as "partial 16S ribosomal RNA". It matches the Rfam family "Bacterial small subunit ribosomal RNA", at positions 524 to 776 of the family's 1533-position model. The record is from RNAcentral.